CUUGCCGUCUCUGAACGCGACGGCCAAUUCAGUUAAUUUCACACCUCAGUGUCAAGAGGAUGGCAUAGAGAGAGCCAUAUAAUAUAAAGUAAGACGAUUUUGUGCCAGAAGGGUCUACUCAUUGUGAGAUUCUAUUUUUUCUCUUCAUUUUUCUUAGCCCAGGCCGAGGUGCACCAUUCAGUGCGAAGGAGAAUCCCAGAGAGAAGUUAUGGUUUCUUUUCCCUCUUGCAACAAGUAGAGUCUACUCUCACAAUUCCUGAUGAUAAAGCGGCUAUCAAUUAUCGUGUUUAUAGCCGAGGCAUCGACGAUUCUUUGAAUGGUGAGGUUAUUGAAUGCCCGUUGAUAACAAUAUAAUUGCUUUUAUAUCUAAAUAUAACCAAUCAAGAUGGUAAUCUUCAAUUGUUCAAUUUGAGCCCAGAAGAUACAUCUUCAGAUAGACGUAUAGAAAAAAUGUUAAUGAGAGCAAUUAGCGAUGAAUCUCGUUAAAAAAAUAAUAACGUCAUGUUCUAGCUGAGCAAUAAACUCCUCGUUAAAUUUAAAUACUGCAUUUAUGUUAAAUACAUAUUAUAAAUAUAUUUAAAAAUUCGUUACUGCUAA
This is a long non-coding RNA of Fopius arisanus, 597 nucleotides long. RefSeq lists it as uncharacterized. The record is from RefSeq and is a predicted model, not a curated record. The transcript has 3 exons. NCBI's taxonomy places the organism in Eukaryota, Metazoa, Arthropoda, Insecta, Hymenoptera, Braconidae.